Vicugna pacos (alpaca) is the source of this 11663-nucleotide non-coding RNA. The record is from RefSeq and is a predicted model, not a curated record. NCBI's taxonomy places the organism in Eukaryota, Metazoa, Chordata, Mammalia, Artiodactyla, Camelidae.
UCUUCGGUCAUUUUGUGACCUCUUUAUUCUGCCUGCUCAGAACAUGUUUUUCAGAGCAUUUUCUGUUACCCAAUAAGUCUCAGCAAUGAAGUUCAAAGCCAAGCCUGAGGACAGUCCCUGCUGGGAAGGGCUGUUAGCAUUUUCUAGCUGUAUUAGUUUUUGUAUUGAUGAUGAGGGAGUUCCCAUGAAGUUCAAUCACUGGGCACUGUCCCCAGAGCUCAAGCCGCUCCUCUAGAGAGUGGCUCUAGAAAAACUGAAUGGAGAGAAACCAGGGUAGAUUCUGUCCUCGUGCCUGGGGGCAAAUCUUUCACUGGCAACAGGGGGAGUGCCUCCUUCACCCCCUGCCAGGCAUUCUUCUAGAACCUUCUUUGGCUUCAAGAGUUUUGCCCUGUUUCUGCUACAGCCCACAAAAGGCAUCUUCUAGGUCUUCAGAGAGAUGAUUUACAAGUCAGAGGGAGUCAAAGGGUGAAGUGGGCUUAGGAGGGUAAAAUCUUAACACCCUACAUGGGAAACUAAAAAUGUAGAAAGAGGACUUGGGGAAACCUGCUUCAGUUCCCAGGUAACUGGAUUCGGGUCCAUCAGAUACACAAGAAGGGCAGUGGAAGCCGGGGGCCAGCAAAGGCAGAAGCAGCCCCUCCCUCAGACGUGGACUCGGAUGCGCCCUCCCUCCUGCGGCCUGAGUUCACUCCUGCCAGGAUCCCCUGACAGUCCCGCCCGCCAGCUGUCUGCAGCUGUGUGCCUUCCAGCUCCUCACAGCUGGCUUUGCAAAGAGAAAACGGCCUGGAAGGCAGUUUACCUUAGGACAUGCCAUGUGUUAAAACAGGGUUCUAAAAGCAGCUAUUAAGCAGAGUGAAUUGCAGCGUUAAAUACAAAAGGUGCACUCAGCCCAAGGCCUUGGGGGCGUUUAGUAGGUCCUCACUCAGUGAGUGGCAGGUCUUCCCUUCAUUUCCUUGUCUCUUCUACCUUACAUUCAUGCUGAAAUGCAGAACAGUUGGAAAUACUGUAGAGCAUUUUCCCGGGGGGGGCUCCAGAGUCCCCUUCCUGGUGCUCACGGAUGCUCCUGUGGGGUGCACACACGUGGGGGCCUGAGUUUGGGAAGAAACCUCCCUGGGGCUGCAAGAAAGUUCUGUGCAUGCACACAGAAAGCACGACUCGGAUAGCCUCCUAAUAUCCAUCUGAUCUGGCCUACAUUCCAAGUUCAAGACCCUGUAGGAGAAGAAGGGGUUUUAAGGGUCUUUCCCCCCUGAAUCAGCCUGGGAGUUGAGUUUCAAGCUUUUACGAGGCAGAUCGGGUUGGGUUCAAUAACCCAAUUAGAAGUGAGUCCUGGUGCAAACAGCCGUCCCCGCUGUACCCUGUUUUCAUUUAAAUCAGAUGCUCUGCUUCCCGGACUGUUCUUAGUGACAUACAUUUCAACUCUUGACUCCGGGUUGCUUUGAGUAUGAAGCGCAGGCGGCCGGUGGAACCUCACUGCAUAAACAAGGGGGCUUGUUGUUGUUUAGAAUGUUUUAAACGCCAUAAACUCCCAACCUGCCUGCUUUUCAAGGUUAAGUUCAUGUCUCUGCCAGGCUGUUUGUUCAGAGCUCCAUAAUUCUAACAGACAGUGAGGGGGAGAUUUGGAAAUAUGCAUCUAUAUUAUAUUAUGUUAUACUCCUUUCCUCAUGUACUUAUUCCCCUGUGACCUCAAAGUGAUGGCUUGUUUGCCCCUUUUUUUUUAAUCUGUCCCUUCCUUUCCUCCUUCCUUCCUUCCCUCUUUCUUCUCUACCCUUCUCCUCCUCCAGUCUUUAUUUCCGGAGCACCACCUUCUGUCUCAAGACACAGCCUCCCUUCCGCCAGGUUACAUAAACAUCGGGCAGCCUGCUCUCUGUCCCUUGGUGAAACACCUUCUUCCAAAUUGUGUUUUCCCUUAAGAUUUGACUCCUCAGAAGUAGCGGAGCUCAGGGGAGGCUGGCAGACCCAGGCAUGAGGGAAGAGAGACAAAAGAAUCUUGUUUGGCAAAGUCGCAGACACACCAACAGUAAAUCUCACCAAAGCCCUUUUCAAAUCUGGAAUGAUUUUCAUGCAGCUGACGAAGGUCGGGUUGUUGAGCUGUGCCUUCCGGCUUCCUGAUCCUCUCCCCCCUCGCCAGCCCCCACCUCUCCUCCUCACUGAGCGGAGAAACAGAGCGCACAGGCACUUAAAGGAGGAAAAUGGAGAAAGAAAGAAAGGAGUUGAAAACCCGAGGGAGAAGCAUACAACAUCUUGCAAUUUUGGAGUCAGGAAGCCCAGUGGACUUGCCCAAGCGCAGGCCUGGUGGGGAGCGGAGCAGCAGGGCACACUGAUGCGUGCGCCACUGUUGUUUGCACACACGGGCUGUGCCUCACUGAAGACAGCAGGUCAAUUACUCAAGAAGCCCGUUCGUGGAGUUCAGCUGCCAGGAGCUUGCUAUCUUUCAUCCUUUAUGCCUGCGAACAACCGUGAUUAUUGCAGACCUUUUCAAGAACUUUCUCUGCAUCAUGCAGCGUGCGGAGGGCUUCUUACACAGCAUCUUGUUUAAUCUCCAAAUGACCAUAUGACGUGGCUGCUCUGCUAGUUAAUUUCACAGCAGUGGAAGCUAAGGCCCACGUCGGUAUGUCACCCGCCCAAUGGCUCUGGUUGUUCACCUGUGUCUUCAAGCACCUUGUGGGAAGAACAUUCUCAUCCUUACCCUUCUGUCCACCACGUGGCAUAUAUUGUCAGCUCUGCACACAGUGGAUGCCAGAUUACUACCUGUGAAUAGCCACUUCCCAAGAGGAAAUUUUAAAAACAAAGACAAAGAGACAAUCAAAGCAUGUUGUAUGAUUCCUUCCAAAUCUACUGUCUUGAGGUCCCCUACAAACCACUCCCAGACUCGGACGGAGUGGUGGUGGUUCUGCAAGAAGCUAACAGUGACCGUGGCGGUGUCUCUCCCUUCAGAUCUCAGUGCCACAACUGGGGAUUCCAAACCCAUGGCUGUGAACUAUCCGUACAGACAUCCACCAUCCUCUGUCAGCUAAAGUGUCAUCUUUCUCCUGGCUCAUAUUAUAAACCUCUCAGCUCUAUGUGAGAAAGAAGUACUUGGCUGGGUGUAGCACGUCUGCAGGAGCCAUCAAGUGGAGCAGAUCCUGGGUGUUUAUGUUUUUCCAGGGCUCAGCAUGCCAAUUCCACAUCAGAUAGCUUCUUAGGUCUAAAAACCCAGAUGUCACUGGCAUUAAGUCCACGCAUGGUCAGGCCACUCGAGGUGGCUGUUCUCUUGCUCUCUAGACAUCCAUCCCCUGCUCCCCCAGCGCCUACUUCCCCUCUGCCCUACUCACAGGACCGACCCCCUACAUACUUGCCCCAGACGCCAGCUAGGGGUUGUUCUAUCCAAGGGGUGGUGAGGGGCGUGCCCCUGUGCUGGUUUCCCUGGUAACUGAUGAGCCAAGCCGAUGUCAAUUCCCCCUACAACUGGCAACCUCUUUCUACCCUCAAGAGCGAAGACUGCCUCCAUGUCCUACUCACUGUCCACCACACACAGUGGGGUGUCACUCCAGGACCAUGCCUCAGAUGUAUAAGAUCGCCCUGUCCAUUAAACCACUGCUUCUCUGUUGCUGACUCCAGGCUCUUCUGCCUUGAAGCUGGGGUGCAGACCAACAGUCUUAUCUGUAUCCUUGAAGUCUCUUUCCCUUGCCAUCCUCCACAUCAUUGGUUAGAACAAUAAUGACCAAGAAAACACAGGGUCAAGCCAGUCUUCAGUGCCCCAGAAUUAAGUGGAGCUCGUGCUAUUGUAGUCCCUCUGUCUUAUCAGUUCAUUGGAAAUUGUUAGUGUGUCCCUGAAUUAUGUCUCAGAUUUCCGUUGUUGGCUCCGUUUCCAGCUCAGGCUCAAAGGAAGUCCCAUGCCUAGUUCUCUAGACCAGCUGAAGAUACUUGCCGCAACCCACAGUGACUAAUUAAUUUGGUUUUACCCUGGAUGUAGAGUUUAUCACAAGCUGAAUAACUCCAGUUCCAUCUAUCGUCAGAGGGUACCCAUUGCCCAGGUUGGCUGCUGAGAACCAGAAAGGGCAGAGGAAAGAGGAAAGGCCUCCCCGGAACACUCAGUUACUCCAAGAAAGACUCUUCUAAGAAAGAGUCAAGGCCAGUCGUGCCCUUCACUGGAACAAGAGCCAGAGACACAAGAGGAAAGAAGAGACAAGGUGGUCCUGACACCCAGGAAGCUUCAAGACUCAGACGGCGGCAUGAGCAGAGGAAUAGGAUGCGCCACCACAAGAAGCAGAGGACACAAAGAAGACAUGACUUUAAUAAAUUGCAAAUUAUACACACUAGCUGUCUCCCCUCUGUCUACCCAGUGAUGACAUCAGACCAUGGGCUAAAGCGUGAAGCCAGAGGGGUAGAUGGGCCCAACAGCUGGUCUCACCGCCUUGGCGUGCCUCUUGGACUCUUCAGUUUGAACCCCCCUUGUUAGUUUGCAGCAGGGAAGAAAAUAAACAAAAAGGCAAGACGAUUAAUUCAGUGCUGUCCUCCAGAUUCUUCCAAUAAGGUCACAGUGUCGCAAUGCUUCAUCCUCUGACCUCACCUCUCCGGACUCCCAUCGUCACGUGGAGUCCUUUGUCAUCCUUCCUUUUUCAGCUGCUGUUUACUCUGGGCUUCUGUGCUUCAGAAAGCUGACACUUGGGAUGCAGAGUGACCUAGACCUCCCUGGCGGGCUGCUUCCCUUUCGGUCCCGGUUAGGUGGGUUGGGCCUGCCCCCAUCCCUGUUGCUGGCCCGCUGCCCUGCUCACCUGACCAGUGGCACAAUGGGAGACGCCGUAAGUAGGUCUCCAAGUGGAAUCACAAGGGAAAGAUGCGACGGUCUUGAAGAGAAGGCCACACAAGUAAGAAAAGAAAUGGAAGCAGGAACAAUGAUGCACCCUGACCAAACAUGCGAUCAAAGGAAAGGCUGAGCGAAGAGAAACUGGAGGGCUCCAAGACAGAGAUGUGGGGGAGUGUCCCUACUCCAAGACGCUGCUUGAAUUCACUUCCACUGAAACACCAAACAGAUCUUUUAAAAGCCCCAAGCUAGAGCAUGAGAACACUGGUUGGGAGCUCAGACUCUGCCUGCUUCUCAGCACUGCCUCUCACCAGCUCGGUGACCUCAGGGAAACCACUGAGUUACAGGUUCCUGUCUGUAAAGUGGGGACAGUCCUACCUACCUCCCAGGAAUGUUUCAAGGUUUAAAUGAGAUCACAGCCCGAGCACUUCUCUAGCACCUACUAUGUGCCAGACAUUGCUCAGGAACUUGCCCGAGGUCAUACAUCUAGGAAGCAGCCAAGUGGUGAUUUGACCCCAGGGAGGCUGGUGCCAGUCUGUGUCCUUAUCGACCGCACCUCUCACUAUAACGCUCAUAAAUCACUCAGCCAGGUGCCUGGAAUAUGACAACAGCAUCGUACAUGUCGGCUAUCAUUUAUCAUUAUUUGCCUUACGCCAGGCGUAAGAAAAACCUUCUUGUCAAUAGGGACUGGGGGACAAGAGAGGCUCCAGGUGCAACGCCCGGAGCGCUGAGUGCCAGCAAAGUCGUUCUGGGAGAAUUCGUGAAGAGAGGUUCAGCUGUUCCCUGGAGCUGUGUCUAGCUUCUCAAGUUUUCUUGGUUUAGCACCGUCCUCUCUUCUCUUUUCCAAGACUGACUCAGAGCUCCGGGUCUCAAUGGAGAACCAGAGAUGAUCCUCACCUUCUCAUUUUAUACACAAGUGCAUUGAGAUCCGAGUUAUAGCAUCUGAUCACAGAAGCUUUGUAAAUUAGCGACAAAGCUGAUCCUUGAACAAAAGUCUCCUGAUGCCCAGAUAAUGCCCUGCUUCUUAAACCUAGAGCCAAUGUGUACAUACGCCAGAUUUUUCUAGAUUUCAAAGUGUCUUGUCCAUUGUGUGCUUAAGUGCAGUCCUCUUCGCUAAAUAAGUGAUUGAAUUAUUGAUUAGGAAAAUAUGGUUACGACAAUGAUUCAUCACAUGGAAGACAGUUACAGAAUCUCUCUCUCCAUUUCCUUCUAAUGGCCCACAGGGGUGGGGAGGUGGAGCCUAAAUCAAAAGGUCCCUAAUUACCUACCACAAUCCCUUUGGUCUUCCAUGGUCCUGAGGUUUGAGGACCUGUUUGGCAGCGCUGAGACCCAAAAGCCCACAUUGAAUUAGGUCAUUCAAGUGCUCCAGGAGGGACAUGAAACAUUGAAAUUAAGGACCUCCUUCCACUCCUCCCAAAAGACCCUUCGCCUUUAAGGACUCCUUUUAAAAGCCAGCGAGUUUUCUCUGAUCCUCCCUAAUAAAGUGCCCCAGCCGCAGCGCUCCCCUUCCUUAUUUGAGAUCUGUGCAGUCUCAUUAAAUUUGAUGUGUCGCAGAGGGCUUGGCCACGUGAAAGGGAGGCUGUGGGAGCAGAACUGGAGGAUGCCAGCUUUCCUAAGGAAACGUAAUUCAUUACGGCUUUUCAAAAUGGACGCCCCUCUGGCUUCCUGCUCCAUUGAUUUCUCCCCCUUUGCAAGUUACAAGCAAAGGGCCAGCUCAGCCUGCAGAUUUAACCCUUAUUAACAGCCGUUUAAAUUAGAGAUGCGGUUUGAUGGAGAGACAGGAGCCUUCGCAGAUCCCCACUCAAAGGAAACCGAGAAGAGAUGAUUAAAGAUGAAAAAGGAUGCAGUCGGCUGGGGUGAGGCUGAAGAGGCGGCAUCUACCCCCGUCCGAGGAGGGGCUCGCACCGCUGUUAAGUAGUUUAUCCAAAUAAUGUGGGUCUACUUUUCCCUGAUUAAAUAUUCAUGACCUACUCCUUCCUCCCCCGCCCUUUGGAAAGAGUAAUGGAGGAAGGAAUAUUUGCUCUUCUAGGUGAAGUGAUGGACAGGAGGACCGAGGCAGACCGCCAGCAGGCUGGCUCCCGACCUUGACCGCUGCCUCCUCGGCAGGAGUGAUGUAGAGCACCUUGGGACGACCUGCUGGGCUGCAGGCUCCCCUGAGACCCUGGAGCGAAAACCUCAAUGCUUUGGUGCCCCUGCAUGGCAGAACCCGAAGGAGACCAACCUGCUCCAGGGUCCGAGCCUGCAGAACAGAGACCAGACCCAUCAGGCAACGGCAGCCUCCACCUCUGUCUGUGGGGACCAGUGCAUGCAGGGGCCCCACAAAUAGCCAGGGAGAAAAACUGCAAGAGCGGUGCUUGGAUAAAGGGAGGAGGCAGACGUCCAGGACGGGGCUGCUCCCCCCAGCCUUAGUUCCAGUUUUACGUGCAGCCUCGGAAUGCCUCAGACUCCUUACUAACCCUUCGUGGUCUCAGGGGUACCACUGGCAUUGUUCCUCCACAUUUCUCCCUUAGCAAAAGAACGUGGGGCAUCACACUGGGUAAGCAGACAAAGCCAGACUUCCCUGCGCAUUGGGAAAAUGAGCCACGAAAAAGACACCUCAGGGAAGGAUGUGGACAACGUGUCCCCUCAAACAGCAAAGCCCACUCUGUUCAGAUAAUGCUAACAACCGUCACCUUCCCUCUAAACAUAAAGACAAUAACCCUCAGGAUCAGGGUCCUAGCGUCUGGAAAAUGCAUGUGUGCCAGCACUGCUGUAAGAAUGAAAAAGCAGCGAGGUGGCUCUCUCACGCUCAUGCUCUACAAAUUUAUUUCCCUGACUUGCAGCAUCUAACUCAAGGAAUCUAAAGAGAAACAUUCUAUGAUGAAAAUAAAAACAAGAGAGGCUUAAGUAAACCUGGCGCUGACAGCUCUGGCAUUACAUAUUAAGUGAACGAGGACAUCAGCUCACUCGGUUCUUACUUUACUUCAUUUAGCCAAGGUGCAUAGAAGAUUUUUGCGCGAGGGGGGGGGUGAGUCUAAAUUUUAUCAGAGCAGCCCGGAGAGCAAAAACGUCAGUACACCCUAGUUUUCACUCCACAAAGAGUCAUUCUCUCCCCAACCCCAAGUCCCAAAAUAAAACAGGAAUAUAUAGAACGCAUGGCAAUGCCCCUCCACAUCUUCCUCCGCUGGCUUUGGUGACACUGACGCAAGUUUUUCUGGGAGACGCAAAGUCUACACAGACGUCGGUAUAAAUAGGGUUUUCUUCAAACUGUUUGGAAACAAAGUUUUAAAGUAUUCACAGUGUCAGAGAAAGUUAUGCCAGCUUGUUCUCUCAGAGAUAAAGGUUUCCCCCUUUUCUGGGUAACUGACUGACACCAUCAGGGGAGUGCGCCCAGAUGAGGCACUGGGAAAAUAAACUAUGCAUUCCCAGCGUAUGUCCAGUCCAGGGACAGAUGAAGGGAGGUACGUGCCGUGAGAGCUGCCAAGAACUUUCAGGUUCAGAACAAGUGUCCAAAGCAAGACGCAGACUUGGCAAAAGCCCUUUCCUCUUAAUUUCAAACACGCGCAUAUGUGCAGGGAAAUGUAAUCCCUGUUUUUUUCUGAGACGCUUUCCCUUUCUAGAACACCCAGGCCCUGCUGCGCAAGCACGCACCACAUGAAAAAGCAGCUCACGACGUGGAGGCAACUUUCCCGCCACACGAGAAGUUACUCCCACAGCGGGAAGGAGGCGUGUGCUGUAAGAGGUCUUUGGCUCAACUACACCCUGUGCUCCCACAGUGGACUAGUUCUCUGACCCCUGAAAAUGUACGGGAUGAUAAAUGUAAAUGGGGGGACUAGGGAAGGAAAGAAAAAAGCGAAGUGCUAUUACUGAGCAUUUAGUAUGUCCCAGAAAGUGCUUAAGAACUUAACAUACUGCCUCACGUUGUCUCAUUUAAUCUUUGCAACGACGCUCUGAGAUCAGUUAUCUCUUCUUUUUUCACUUAAAAAUGCAGACCCCAAGGACCAGAUGGGUUGGCUAAAUUCCAAGGCCCAAGGGGCUGAGCAAGGGCUGGGAUCACAACAUAUGACUAGUUGUGAAGCCGCUCUCUUUCCAUCCUACGACACUGCCUCCAGCGGCAAAGGUCUUUAGAGACCACAGAACCAAACUCUGCCGAGGUCACAAAGGCCUGGAAACCAGAAUCUUGAUUCUUAGCGCAGUCUCUUUGCAUAAUAGCAGGACAAGUGCUGUGUUCGCUUCAAAAUGCUUGUUUGCUCCAUUCUAAAAUGAGUCCAGGAGUCUCCUGCUACAACACUUAGCGCCAAGUGCAGUCAGACACAAGCCAUACUAUGCAACAGUGAUGACAGUGAUCAGUCAUAUGGGCCAAUUAUUUCAACAAAUAGUUACGUGUGCCCACUGUACUACAGAGAUCCUCGGGUAAAAAUACACACCCAUCCAGGCGUAGCCUCAGCCUGGCCUCCUAUCCCCAUUCCCAGUACCCUUUGCCUACUGUCCACCCAAUUACAUUGUUAUCAUCAGAAGCUAAGAAAACAUCGUCAAAGCAAAAGCAGACAUAGAUACUCACACAGCGGAGAGGCGGUUUGAAUUCCCACAAUGGAGGUAGAAGGCAUGGUCGGCAAACUCCUUCCCUGACCACUAACAGGCACCUGCAACCUUCCCCUGGCCUCAAACUCAGUCUAACUUCAGCUGAGCUCUCUCUGCUUCUAGUUGAAAGCACAGAGCCCGCCCACCUUGCUUUCUUCCCCUGCUUUCCGCUUCAGUCAGCCCCACCUGUAGCGAAAUCCAUUUUCCAUCCACCCGUCAUAGUCUACACCAUCUUCCCAACUAGCCUCUUCUUCGGUGUCGUAUGGAAUCCUGCUCUGAGUAACGAGCAAACGCCCGCGUAGCGGCAGAUCCUGACACCAGCCUGCUGUCCACCUCUGUCUCAGAUGGAAACGUGGCUUUCCCUUCACUGUAAGUGGCUCUCAGACCCCUUUCCCGUAGCUGUUUCUUCUUCCCCGACCCCAACUCAGAGGUCACAUUUGCUCUCAGCUUACCUUGCGGAGCACGGUCCUUCCGCCAUCACGCAAGAGUCCUUCUGCUUUGCAACUCUCGUCUCUCCCUCCUUGUUGUACCUUUCCGACCCUCUACGCCUGGAACACCCGAGGCGCCAUGAGCACGCUAGGCUUUUAUGGAUGACAGAUGACCUAAGCCUCGCGAGAUCUCCAGCUCCUCACAUCAGUGACUUUCACCUGCCUUCUGUUUCACCCAGCAAAACAGUGGCUCUCCAAGUAUGGUUCUUGGCUCACUCACAUCAGCAUCACCUGAAACUCGUUAGAGAUGCACCUCUCAGCCCCACCCUAGACCUGUGGAAUCAGACUCUUUAGGGGCGGGGCCAGCAAUCUGUGCCCUACCAAGCCCUCCAGGUGAUUCUGAUGCGCAGAAGUUUGAGAACCACUAGUGCAGAGGAUGCCCCCACCAUGGACCACGGCAUUAACUGGAGCUUUUCGACUCUUAAGAUCUGUGCUUCACCAACGUGUCAUCAUUUUUCCUAUUCUCUCAACUUUGUUAACCUAAUAUUUGCCACGGUCUAGAAGCCUCUUCUGGCCUCACCUUCACUCAGUCUGGACCCCAGUCAGCCAUUUCCAUGAUGCCUCUAAGACUUGCAUUUGCUACUUAACUGGUAGCCUCUAAAUUUGGACUUUUGGCACAAGCUAUAAAAUUGUGCUGAUUGAUUCCAAGCUAGCUAUCUUAUCUGGGCCACUGCUACUGGCUUAUAACCUCAGUAUUCAUUUCUUUAGGAUCUUUUCAUUUGCUCUUUAUGGUAUUUCCAACAGUUACCUGCUUUCAUCCAUACUGACAUUUCUACCUAAACUUCCACACUUUCAGCCAAUGGUCUUGACUCUCAGUUUACUAAGAAUAAAGUCACCCAGGCAAGUGCCCUCACUUUUCACCCACUGCUUUCCAAGUCAUCUCUAGAGCUGCUUCUCCUGAAGUAGAAGCAUUCUCCUCUCUUGGACUCUGAAUCUUCUCACCUAUGACUCUACCAGAACCUCGCUCCUCAGGAAGCCAGUGGAAUGCAGGGCCUCCAGAAGGGAUGUUCAAGACCACAACUUGCCAGAGGGUAGAGGAGGCUGUCAGUGAUGAAUAGUGUCACAUGCCAGAACCAGGUCCAGCAGAGUGAAACUGAGGGAAGGUUAUUUUCUUUGGACCUUUACUAGAUAACCGGUUCCAAGAUUGCUGUUUUAGUAGAAGGGUGAGGACGAAGACAGAUUGGAGGAGGGUAAGAGAAUAAAGCAAGGAUGUAAGGGGGUAUACAGCCCACUAUUAAGAGAAAUUCAGCCAUGUAGCAAAAGAUGAGAGUAGAAAUGUAGCUAAAGAGACUGAGGACUCAACAGACAGCCUUCUCUCCACCACUGCUGAGAUCUAGGUCUGUUCCAUGCAAGGGAAAGCGGUCAGCAGAGAAGAACAGAAUAAAGACACUGGGAGGUGGGAUAAUUAAAGGAAAAGGUCCUGCAAGGGACACAAAGACGUGGAAGAGAGAGCAAACCUGGAGAGGCUGUUCAUCCGGACUCUUGGCUGCAAGUGACAGUGUAUCUUCAUCAACCAACUCAGGCCAGACAAAAAUAUCCCGGCUCACAUGACCAGCAAGGGGAGGGAUGCCAUUAUACAUCUGCCCAAACCCGUAAAAUGUACACCACCAAGAGUGGACCCUAAUGGAAACUAUGGGCUUUGGGUGAUAACGAUGCGUCAGUGUAGGUUCAUCACUUGUAAUAAAUGCCCUGCUCCAGUGGGGGAGGCUGUGCCUGGGGGGGAGGGGCAGGAGGCAUAUGGAAUGUCUCUGUAAUCUCCCUGUCAAUUCUGCUGUGAUCUUAAAACUGCCCUGAAAAAUAAAUAAUUAUAUUUUAAUAAUUUAAAAAAGACUUUA